RNAcentral lists this small RNA (1362 nucleotides) under Rattus norvegicus (Norway rat). RNAcentral describes it as "uncharacterized LOC102550067". Lineage: Eukaryota; Metazoa; Chordata; Mammalia; Rodentia; Muridae. The record is from RNAcentral.
UUUACAGAAAAAGAAAAGCUAUUUAUUGUAGGGGUGAACGCUCCAGAGACAGUCGUCCUCGGCACUCUGUUCUCAGGUGCAGAGAUGGCGGACAGGAGCCCGGAAACUAGGGGAAAUAGGCCAGGCUUUAUCAGAACAUCAUUGCUCCGUGGGAGGUGCCUGGGAGCAGGUCCAGCUGAGCCUGGACUCCCGGUACUCAGAGGCUUGAGCCAAGAGGAUAGUGAAUUUGAGAGCAGCCCAGGCUUUGCAGGAGUUCUGGUCACUUUGUGAUACAUGAUCAGAAGUGACUCAAAAAACCAAAGGGUGGUGUAGUACUUGCCUAGCGUGUCCUGGGUUCAAAUCCUUGUCUCAAAAAAGAAAGAAAGAAAGAAAGAAAGAAAGAAAGAAAGAAAGAAAGAAAGAAAGAAGAAAGAAAAGGUACACACUUCUACUGAACAAUGUUGGGCAUUAAGGAACUACAGCGGUUUUUCCAUGGUUUGCCUAUUUGGGGGGAUGUGGGGGUUGAACCCUGGAGUAUAAGCACAUUAAGCUCAUGCUCUGCCAAGUUACACUGUGCUCCGUGCUCUAAAAGGAAAUAUCACUAACCUAGGAAGGUUAGCAUAGAGAUCUCUAACGGAUGCUUUGAAAUGUUUUUUUUUUAAUUACUAUAAAAUGUUUUCAAGGUCCUGCUAAGUAGUGCAGGCUAUCCUGGGAUUUGCCCAGGCCAGCCUCAAAAUCCUACGUAAUCAUAAUUCACACUUGGAAAACCGAGUCGCAAGCAGCUGAAGUAAUAUUCCCAUAUUUAUCAAGUUAGUAUGAGUAAGGACCCUGGACUUGAACUCAGGGCUUUCUGGGUGGCCACCUGGUGACACAGAAGCCACUGGAGGUGUUCCAGAUUAUCCCGAGGCCAGCAUGUAUGGGCAUGUAUGGCUAAGGCUACGCUACAAAGAGGCCGUCCGCUCUGAUUCACAGGUGAACUCACCUUGCCUUAUCUUCUGUGAGGUAACAAGUGGACAAAUACCUUCAGACGGCUCCACAUGACACAUACAAACAAACCAGCUAUGGCAUGCGGAGCCGGGCAGACUAGAGCACCGGCUCUCCCCACUCUCUUACACAAAGCUCUUUUUGUGACAUCACAGUGCUGCGUCAGCGGAGACACUCUCUGGAAACAAACUGACACCAUUAAACCCAUCUCCAAGCUGGGGCUGUAGGAGAGCUCGCCAUACCCAGGGCCUUCCUCCGACAUCUCCACCACUAUGUGACCGGCUUCGAUAGGUGGUUCUGGCUGUCCCGGCACUUCCUGUGAAGACAAGGCUAACGUCAAGCUCGGAGCAAUUCUCCUUCCUUGGCCUUCCGUGCCAGAAUUACAGGUGUGGGACACCA